GCGGGACGCGCUGGCGGCGGGGACGGGGGCCCUGCCCCGCGUGGCGGGACGUGGCGUGUCCCCCGCGGGGCGGAGCCGUUCGCGGCGGCACCGGCCGCUGCUCCGUCGCACCGGGCCCGCCCGCGCCGCGCCCUGAGGGGCCGCCGGGCGGGGAGCGCGGCCGCAGCCUCCCCGCUGCCUCGGUCGUCGUUGUCGCCGUGACCCCGCGCCGGGGCUCCCUGCGGCGGAGGGCUCCUCCCGCGGGCAGGGCGCCGGGGGUCGCUCGUUUGACCGGGGGGCGUCGGGGACAAAGCCUGAGUCGUGACCCCGCAAAUUUCAGGGGGAAAACGUGUGGUUCCUGCUGGGGAGGAGCGCUGAGAUCUCCUCUGCGGCUGUGUGGGGUGCAGGAACCACCCGGCUCUGCCCCAGUGGAAGAGGAGUGGUAUCUGGCUCCCUGUUGCCCCAGUUACAACACCCAGGGUAGUACUUUGCGGGCCAACAACUUGGAGAUGCGGCUUGACCUGAUCGGUUAAUUUUAGUGAUAUUUUAAAGAAGCGUGAAAGUAUAGAAGGAGCAUAGGAGCAUGAGGAAGAAAGGAAAAAGCAAGGAAGGUUUGAAACAGAGGAAGAGCUAAGUUCCAUGACUAUUGAAGCUGGUUGAGUUGGAGAGAAUCUGGGGUUAUGCUGGGUCUUGGCCUCAUCGGUGAAGAAGCUGUGUGCUAGGCAGAUGGUGGGUGAGUGUAGCUGGAGUGUGGCGAGGGGUGGGCUGGGCUGUCUGGUCUGGGGCACACAGGGAGGCAGGGGAAAGACAGGGCGAUCUGAAGGAAUGUAGGGUGCAGGCUUUUCCUCUCCAAUGGCUUCUCAGGCACACAAGGUCACUAACCAGGUGCCCCAUGGCUCCUCCCGGAACUCUGACAGCCACAUGAAGCACCCAAGGCACUGGCUUUUGCACAGAAAUGGCACUGCUCUGGAACAGGACUGCCACCUUGACAUGCUGCCAGCAAAAGCCCCCUGCCCAAAGGCUCUGCAGACAUCUGUCAAACCAGUCCCCAAUUCCCCAGCAGCUGCUAAACCUUGCCCCAAAUGCACCAUUGACCCUCAAAGUCCCAGGACUUCAAAACACCCCCAGGCUUGGACCAAAAGCCCCCAACCCCCAACCCUGCCCCAAGACCACAAUGAUUCCAACACUGCUCUGAACCCCACCUCAGAACCCCAAUGCCCCCAAACCCACCCCCCCAAACAAUGCCUUGAUGCCACCCCCAAAGGUGGCAGGCUCCCCUGCAGUCCUGGAUGUCUCUUCCCUCCCUCCGCUGGCAAACCCUGACCUCCUGGUGCCCAGGGGAGAAUUUUGUGCCCCACGUCCCCCACCGCAGGGGAACAGGAGAGAUGGCCCAAUGCUGCUGGGAUGCAGACAUAGACUGCCGGAAACCCCGCAGGGGACAGAUGCUCCUGAGGCACCGUCUCCUGCGCUCCCUGUUCCCAUCCGAGGAAGAUAAAUACAAGCUAGCCCUUGGCUGCGCUUUAUUCUCAGUUAAUACAGAGGUCAUUAGAUUAAUUAAGGGACACAGUGAGGACCCAGACAGGCCGCCACCCCAAGCCUGGGGUCCCUGAGACUCUCUCGUUCUCUUGGUGGAGCUGUUCUGGAGGCCUGCGGUGGGCUGCUUGUGGGUUUGCAUGAUGCUGUGGUCUUUCUGGGACUUUGUCAAAGGCUCUGGGAUGUUUGGGAUGGCCGGUGGGGCUUUCCCUCCUCACCUAUGGGCUCUGGUUAUGGAGGGGGGGACGGGGACACAUUUGGUGGUCUGCAGGGCUGUCCCCAUCAUGUUACUACCAUAUUUGGAGUGGUGCAGGGGUCUUCUCAGGUCUCUGCAUCUUCGGGGAAUGGGUCGUAGCAAUAUCGUGGCAUCCCUUUCCUGUUUUUUGGGAGGUAGUUUGGCCAUGCCCAGAGCUCUUCCCCUCUUUUGGGAGAAUUAUAUUAGGGUGUUCGGCUCUCUUCCCCCAGUUUCAUUUGAUCUCUGUGUACCCUGUUUAGUAUGCCCUUCAAACAAAUUUUAAAUACGGAGGAGCUCUCCUCCAGACGGGUGGAAGGAAGGACAGGGCUAUGAUACAAAGUCAUAAACAACCGUGGUGGCAGGGCCUGGGCACUGCGCUCUCGUUGGGGGUUAAGGGCACAGCUUAACUUUUUGCUAUAGGGAUGCAAUCAGUGAUAGGAAGUGCAAAUGGAUAACAGGGAGAAGACUGGUGAACAGGUUUUUAUGAAUAACACCUAUCAAAUUGGAUGAAACAGGGAAGCAAAAAUGCGGUUCAGGCCCUGGUGUGUCCCUAAAAAUGCAGGGCUCCUGAUAUCACCAGAAACAGCUAAAGAAGGAGGCGUUUCUGUGUGGAUAGGUAAGAUUAUCAAUAAAAAAUGUUAUUUCUGUCUCUCAGGGCAGCUCUAAGGACUAAAUAAUCCAUUCCUACCCUGUGAAUAUUGUUAAUUGUGGCUGGAUUAGCUUUGCUUUGGUAGUUUCAUAUUUUGUUACCAGGUAUGCAUAUGUGAAAAGAAAAAGAUGUAAUACCUACUUUUUAGAUUCAUUAUGGUGGCUGAAGUUGAUUACAGCCUGCCUUAUGGCCCCUUUGGGGUGCACCAAGGCUCUGCAUGUGCUCCAGAGCCCCCCAAGGCCUGCAGUUCACAUUUCGAGUUGCCCCCAAACCUUCUGUGGGCCUUUCUGUGUAUCCCUGCGCCCUAUGUUUGUCUUGCAGCGUGCCACGAAGUUUUCAGUUUACCUUUCUUCCCCACCCUGGGGUUUUCUGAGUACUUUCUGGUGUGCUCCAGGAUCGUAUUUUCCUUCCUUUAUGCACCAAGGCCUUCCCUUUGCUCUUCUGUGCUCCCAGAAUCUUUUGUUUGCCCUAUCACCCCCUGAUGUUUUUCUUUUUCCCCCCUUUCAUUGCACUCCAAAGCUCUCCAUUUGUUCCCUUAAUACUAAUCCUUAUUCCUUUUCAUGCACCGCAGCUCUCUUCCCUUUAGCUUUCAGCAAGCUGCCCUCUGCAGCUGGACACCUCUGCUGCUCUGGCAGCCCCAGCUGUUCCUUGGGGUUGAUUAUGAUGGCCCCGUGUCCCUGUGGGCUGCAGCUGCGGGGCAGGGAUGGGGGAGCGGCAAGCCACCGGUGUGACAGCAAUGCCCUCCAGCGUCCAGCGGGUCGCAGCCUGUAGGUAAGUAGGUGGGAAUAACUGCAAUGCCCGAGGUGGCUGCUCUUGUGCAGAAAGUAUAAAGUUUAACAACCAUAUGAAUUUUAACAAGGGUAAGUGCUGGAUUUUGCACCUGGGGCACGACAACCCUGGCUGUACGGACAGGCUGGGGAAUGAGAGACUGGGGAGCAGCUCUGCAGAGGGACCAGGGGGUUCUGGUCAACGGCAAGUUGAACGUGAGCCAGCAGCGUGCCCUGGCAGCCCCGAGGGCCAGCCGUGCCCUGGGGGGCACCGAGCCCUGCAUCGCAGCCGGGCGAGGGGGGGGAUUGUCCCGCUCUGCCCCGCGCUGGGGCGGCCUCACCUCGAGUGCUGUGGGCAGGGUUGGGCGCCGCAGGACAUUGGGGGUAUAAAGCUAUGGGAGAGGGUCCAGAAAAGGGCCAUGGAGUUGGUGAAGGGUU
This is a non-coding RNA of Phalacrocorax carbo (great cormorant), 3601 nucleotides long. The record is from RefSeq and is a predicted model, not a curated record. Lineage: Eukaryota; Metazoa; Chordata; Aves; Suliformes; Phalacrocoracidae.